RNAcentral lists this ribosomal RNA (584 nucleotides) under uncultured bacterium. Its description in RNAcentral is "bacterial SSU rRNA". It matches the Rfam family "Bacterial small subunit ribosomal RNA", at positions 338 to 916 of the family's 1533-position model. The record is from RNAcentral.
CCUACGGGAGGCAGCAGUGGGGAAUUUUGGACAAUGGGGGCAACCCUGAUCCAGCAAUGCCGCGUGAGUGAAGAAGGCCUUCGGGUUGUAAAGCUCUUUUGUCAGGGAAGAAACGGUGAUCUCUAAUACAGAUUACUAAUGACGGUACCUGAAGAAUAAGCACCGGCUAACUACGUGCCAGCAGCCGCGGUAAUACGUAGGGUGCAAGCGUUAAUCGGAAUUACUGGGCGUAAAGCGUGCGCAGGCGGUUAUAUAAGUCAGAUGUGAAAUCCCCGGGCUCAACCUGGGAACUGCAUUUGAGACUGUAUGGCUAGAGUGUGUCAGAGGGGGGUAGAAUUCCACGUGUAGCAGUGAAAUGCGUAGAUAUGUGGAGGAAUACCGAUGGCGAAGGCAGCCCCCUGGGAUAACACUGACGCUCAUGCACGAAAGCGUGGGGAGCAAACAGGAUUAGAUACCCUGGUAGUCCACGCCCUAAACGAUGUCUACUAGUUGUCGGGUCUUAAUUGACUUGGUAACGCAGCUAACGCGUGAAGUAGACCGCCUGGGGAGUACGGUCGCAAGAUUAAAACUUAAGGAAUUGACGG